CCCUUAGAUGUUCUGGGCCGCACGCGCGCUACACUGAUGAAUGCAACGAGCUCUACCCUUGACCGAAAGGCCCGGGUAAACUUGUGAAACUUCAUCGUGAUGGGGAUAGAUUAUUGCAAUUAUUAAUCUUCAACGAGGAAUUCCUAGUAAGCGCGAGUCAUCAGCUCGCGUUGAUUACGUCCCUGCCCUUUGUACACACCGCCCGUCGCACCUACCGAUUGAAUGGUCCGGUGAAAUCUCGGGACGGCGGCUUGGUCGCUUGCGUCCGACUGCUGAAACUUGAUUAAACCAUAUCAUUUAGAGGAAGGUGAAGUCGUAACA
Molecule: ribosomal RNA, 321 nt
Filed under: uncultured eukaryote
Lineage: Eukaryota
Description: partial 18S ribosomal RNA
Rfam family: Eukaryotic small subunit ribosomal RNA
Source: RNAcentral